This 496-nucleotide ribosomal RNA is filed under the name uncultured bacterium. RNAcentral describes it as "partial 16S ribosomal RNA". It matches the Rfam family "Bacterial small subunit ribosomal RNA", at positions 28 to 506 of the family's 1533-position model. The record is from RNAcentral.
GAUGAACGCUGGCGGCGUGCCUAAUACAUGCAAGUCGAGCGAACAGACGAGGAGCUUGCUCCUCUGACGUUAGCGGCGGACGGGUGAGUAACACGUGGAUAACCUACCUAUAAGACUGGGAUAACUUCGGGAAACCGGAGCUAAUACCGGAUAAUAUAUUGAACCGCAUGGUUCAAUAGUGAAAGACGGUUUUGCUGUCACUUAUAGAUGGAUCCGCGCCGCAUUAGCUAGUUGGUAAGGUAACGGCUUACCAAGGCAACGAUGCGUAGCCGACCUGAGAGGGUGACGGGCCACACUGGAACUGAGACCCGGCCCAGCCCCCUACGGGAGGCAGCAGUAGGAAAUCUUCCGCAAUGGGCGAAAGCCUGACGGACAAACCCCGCGGGAGUGAUGAAGGUCUUCGGAUCGUAAAACCCUUUUAUUAGGGAAGAAAAAAUUUGAAAGUAACUAUGCACGUUUUGACGGUACCUAAUCAAAAAGCCCCGGCUAACUCCGU